UACGAGGGGGGCGAGCGUUGUUCGGAAUUAUUGGGCGUAAAGGGUGCGUAGGCGGUUUGGUAAGUCUUGUGUGAAAUCUUCGGGCUCAACUCGAAGUCUGCACGAGAAACUGCCGGGCUUGAGUAUGGGAGAGGUGAGUGGAAUUCCCGGUGUAGCGGUGAAAUUCGUAGAUAUCGGGAGGAACACCGGUGGCGAAGGCGGCGACCUGGGUCGAUACUGACGCUGAUGCGCGAAAGCGUGGGGAGCAAACAGG
This 253-nucleotide ribosomal RNA is filed under the name uncultured bacterium. Its description in RNAcentral is "partial 16S ribosomal RNA". It matches the Rfam family "Bacterial small subunit ribosomal RNA", at positions 524 to 776 of the family's 1533-position model. The record is from RNAcentral.